This 517-nucleotide ribosomal RNA is filed under the name uncultured bacterium. RNAcentral's name for it is "bacterial SSU rRNA". It matches the Rfam family "Bacterial small subunit ribosomal RNA", at positions 355 to 881 of the family's 1533-position model. The record is from RNAcentral.
UGGGGAAUAUUGCGCAAUGGGCGAAAGCCUGACGCAGCAACACCGCGUGAGGGAUGACGGCCUUCGGGUUGUAAACCUCUUUCAGCUCCGACGAAGCGAAAGUGACGGUAGGAGCAGAAGAAGCACCGGCUAACUACGUGCCAGCAGCCGCGGUAAUACGUAGGGUGCAAGCGUUGUCCGGAAUUAUUGGGCGUAAAGAGCUCGUAGGCGGUCCGUUGCGUCUGCCGUGAAAACCCGGAGCUCAACUCCGGGCCUGCGGUGGAUACGGGCGGACUAGAGUCCGGUAGGGGAGACUGGAAUUCCUGGUGUAGCGGUGGAAUGCGCAGAUAUCAGGAGGAACACCGGUGGCGAAGGCGGGUCUCUGGGCCGGAACUGACGCUGAGGAGCGAAAGCGUGGGGAGCGAACAGGGAUUUAGAUACCCCUGGGUAGUCCACGCCGUAAACGAUGAGUGCUAGAUGUUGGGAUUUUCGGAUUUCAGUGUCGCAGCUAACGCAUUAAGCACUCCGCCUGGGGAGU